This 1473-nucleotide ribosomal RNA is filed under the name uncultured Bordetella sp. Its description in RNAcentral is "partial 16S-23S ribosomal RNA intergenic spacer". It matches the Rfam family "Bacterial small subunit ribosomal RNA". Lineage: Bacteria; Pseudomonadati; Pseudomonadota; Betaproteobacteria; Burkholderiales; Alcaligenaceae. The record is from RNAcentral.
GGUUCGAUUAUGGCUCAGAUUGAACGCUGGCGGGAUACUUUACACAUGCAAGUCGAACGGCAGCACGGACUUCGGUCUGGUGGCGAGUGGCGAACGGGUGAGUAAUGUAUCGGAACGUGCCUAGUAGCGGGGGAUAACUACGCGAAAGCGUAGCUAAUACCACAUAUACGCCCUGUCGAAGCGGGGGACCUUCGGGCCUCGCACUAUUGGAAGCGGCCGAUAUCCGGAUUAGCUGGUUGGUGGGGUAACGGCUCACCAAGGCGACGAUCCGUAGCUGGUUUGAAAAAGGACGACCAGCCACACUGGGACUGAGACACGGCCCAGACUCCUACGAGGAGGCAGCAGUGGGGAAUUUUUGGACAAUGGGGGAAACCUGAUCCAGCCAUCCCGCGUGUGCGAUGACCUUCGGGUUGUAAAGCACUUUUGGCAGGAAAAGAAGCUUGGCUGGGAUAAUACCCCGUGCAACUGACAGUACCUGCAGAAUAAGCACCGGCUAACUACGGUGCAAACAGCCGCGUGUACGUAAGUUGCAAGCGUUAAUCGGAAUUACUGGGCGUAAAGCGUGCGCAGGCGGUUCCGGAAAGAAAGAUGUGAAAUCCCAGAGCUAACCUGGAACUGCAUUUUUAACUUCCGAGCUGAAGUGUGUCAGAGGGAGGUGGAAUUCCGCGUGUAGCAGUGAAAUGCGUAGAUAUGCGAGGAGGAACACCGAUGGCGAAGGCAGCCUCACCAGGAUAACACUGACGCUCAUGCACGAAAAAGCGUGGGAGCAAACAGGAUUGAAUACCCUGGUAGUCCACGCCACAAUGAUGUCAACUAGCUGUUGGGGCCUUCGGGCCUUGGUAGCGCAGCUAACGCGUGAAGUUGACCGCCUGGGGAGUACGGUCGCAAGAUUAAAACUCAAAGGAAUUGACGGGGACCCGCAAGCGGUGGAUGAUGUGGAUUAAUUCGAUGCAACGCGAAAAACCUUACCUACCACUUGACAUGUCUGGAAUCCCGAAGAGAUUUAGGAGUGCUCGCAAAACCGGAACACAGGUGCUGCAUGGCUGUCGUCAGCUCGUGUCGUGAGAUGUUGGGUUAAGUCCCGCAACGAGCGCAACCCUUGUCAUUAGUUGCUACGAAAGGGCACUCUAAUGAGACUGUCGGUGACAAACCGGAGGAAGGUGGGGAUGACGUCAAGUCCUCAUGGCCCUUAUGGGUAGGGCUUCACACGUCAUACAAUGGUCGGGACAGAGGUCGCCAACCCGCGAGGGGGCCAAUCCCAGAAACCCGAUCGUAGUCCGGAUCGCAGUCUGCAACUCGACUGCGUGAUCGAAUCGCUAGUAAUCGCGGAUCAGCAUGUCGCGGUGAAUACGUUCCCGGGUCCUGUACACACCGCCGUCACCAUGGGAGUGGGUUUUACCAGAAGUAGUUAGCCUAACCGUAAGGAGGGCGAUUACCGGUGAUUCAUGACUGGGGUGAAGUCGUAACAGGUAG